AACGAACGCUGGCGGCAUGCCUAACACAUGCAAGUCGAACGAUGUCUUUCGGGGCAUAGUGGCGCACGGGUGCGUAACGCAUGGGAAUCUGCCCUUGGGUUCGGAAUAACCGUUGGAAACGACGGCUAAUACCGGAUGAAGUCGAUAAGACCAAAGAUUUAUCGCCUGAGGAUGAGCCCGCGUAGGAUUAGCUAGUUGGUGUGGUAAGAGCGCACCAAGGCGACGAUCCUUAGCUGGUCUGAGAGGAUGAUCAGCCACACUGGGACUGAGACACGGCCCAGACUCCUACGGGAGGCAGCAGUGGGGAAUAUUGGACAAUGGGCGCAAGCCUGAUCCAGCAAUGCCGCGUGAGUGAUGAAGGCCUUAGGGUUGUAAAGCUCUUUUACCCGGGAUGAUAGUGACAGUACCGGGAGAAUAAGCUCCGGCUAACUCCGUGCCAGCCGCCGCGGUAA
Molecule: ribosomal RNA, 452 nt
Filed under: uncultured bacterium
Lineage: Bacteria
Description: partial 16S ribosomal RNA
Rfam family: Bacterial small subunit ribosomal RNA
Source: RNAcentral